UCAAAGGCUCCGGAAGGAAGACUCGUAAACGGGUGGUAUCAGCUGAAGAAAGAAUGCAGAGAUGCUGGUUGCCGAGACAUAAACGCCAUCACUUCAACAAAUAUGCGCAAAUAUCUAGCCACGAUCGCCCAGAUCAUGAACCUAUCAGAAAAUGAAAUGGAUCAGAUUGCCUCACACCUCGGACACGAUAUAACCGUUCACAGAAAAUACUAUCGCCUACCGGACAGCACAGUAGAACUCGCGAAAAUAGCGAAACUUCUACUGUCUACCGAAGAAACGCUUGGAGCCAAUCUCGACGAUGAUGCUGAAGGAGCGUCAAAUGCAGUCGGCGCUACGGCUGGCCGUGUCAGCGACCCACCUGCUCGGCCACGGCCAACAGGCAGCCGGCUCCGACGUCAAGUAGGCGCUACGGUUCCUGACGCCAGCAGGAGCACUUGACCAGCAGCUCACCGCCACCGCACAGGACCUGGCACAGCUCGGCACAGGCAUGCACAUUGACCCAGCAGUGGUGCAAGAAUGCGAAUGGCAAGCUCUGCACUGAUUCCUCCGUUUUUAGCAUUAGUGUUUCGCGUAACUUUCCGUUAAACGGACGGGGCCGCCGCCGGCCCCGGCCGCCGCCGUGCGAGUCGGCCGCCGCGCCGCUACGGACGACUGGCACACGCCACAAGUGUGAUGGAUUUUCGGCCAACGCGGCGACACCGGCGUAGCGUUCAAUUGGCCGCGCUGCCCUGACGCUCCGGUGACGGACAGGUGGACCGAGGGCGCCGCCCGCCCAUCCCUCCGGACCAGGCCAGGCCGGCCGAUCUGAGGGAGGUAGGGAGGAGCCGCGUGGCUGGCCGAAUGGACGGCCGCGCCGGGCCAUUGUCACUGAUUGUUGGCCAUUGUCACUGAUUGUUCAUUGCCGCACCGAGGUCCGGCGAUGUCACCGGAAUGCCGCCACUGGUUUGAGUUUCCGCGAAACCGGCUUGCCCAGAGAUGUUUGUCACUGGCAUUGCUAUGUGCUAUUUGUGAUGUUCAUAUAUACCAUUCCCGUUACGGAGUACAUAUCUUGUUUUGAACGUUAAGUUCCGAUAUACGAACUGGCCGUCUGAAAAAGAGCCGCACGUGCACGAUGCUUGUAGAUAUUCCUGACGACCACGAACCGACCACGAAUCAGAACUGCGCCUCUCGUAAUGGGAGUGCGAGUAGUUGUUGCGAGUUAGAGCUCCUUGGCGAGUGGCUGACUCUGAACUGACUGACUAAACACCGGUUAGCUGUUUCACCAGCAGUCCCAGUGGAGGGAAGUAGGCCCAGGCGAGCAGGGUGUCGCAGCGUAAGUCCGACGAUGGCGGCGCAGUAGUCGAAUGGCGUCCACAUUUAGCCGACGAAGGCUGCGCUGAGCGCCAUACCCGCCUCACCUUAUCUCCGAGUCACGUGUUCAUGACUGACACGGGCAACCAUACGGCCCGUCGUUGCCCACGCGCACCCCAGACGGGGCCGCCAGUCGCGGCCCCGGACACGUCAGUCCCCAGAUCUGCAGUGAUGUCGCCCGGCUCUGACGAUGGCGCACAGCCGCCGUGUCCGCGGUCUCCGUCGCCGCCGCGGUAUGCGGCGCUGGGCGGCGACUCGUACAUGUCGCGGUCUCGCCAUUGGGGGCCGAACGAUUCGCGGCUCCCGCCGACCCCGCCGGCGACGAGUUUCCUCCGGCGAGUCCUGCGCCGUCUGGCGUGGUCGACGCUGCCCGGGAGGUUCCUGGCUGGCAAGCUGCUGCUGUGUCUACCGACGCACAGAGUUUUGUCGUGGCUGUGCUGUCCGCGGCCGUGCUCCACGGUUGCGACGUCUGCGGCCAAGCUGCCCGCUGCUGAGCUCCGCGGCCGAGCUGCCAGCGGCCGUGCUCUGCGGCCGUGCUCUGCGGUCGUGCUCUGCGGCCGUGCUUCCCGUGGCUGGGCCCUCCGUGGUCCCGUGAUCGUGGCCGCGGCGAGGGUGCCGCGACCUGCGCGAUGCCGUGCGCUGCAGUGAUGGCGCCGCGCACUGUGCAGUGAUUUUGCCGAGCGCUGCGUACGCGGUGGGUGCCGCGCGCCGCGCUGUUGAGCGUGCCGUAUUCGGACGGUGGCUGCCGCGCGCAGCGUGGUGAUUGCUGCGCUCUGCCAUGAGUGCCGCUCACUGCCGUGGCCUGAGUGCCGCGCUCGGACGGAGUGCCACGCGCCGUUGUGUUGCGUCGCCUUCUGCCUUUUGAUAUGUGCUAUCUCCGAAUUUAAUGUUGCUUGUUGCCGAUGUUCGCUUCUUUUCGUUAAGAGGGUCGGGUAUAGUCGGUCGAUUUAUUCGCACCGUUUGAUUUCGUACCGGCUUCUCUUCUGUUUCUUAUUGUUUUCUGCGAUGUCACUUGUCCGAUUUUAUAUCUGAUUAAUUCACGUCACUUAAGUAUUUAUUUUAUAUUGUCAUAAUAACUUACGGCGCUGUUCCUUUAUUUUCUGUUUAGUUGCAGCCCUAGUACCUUAAUUUCCGAUGUCUCUUCGGUUUGUUGUCGCUCGCAUGUUCAGAGAGUCCUGGUUGGCCGGCGCGAGCGGCGGUUGUGGAAUACAAGCUCGUCUGUGAA
Molecule: long non-coding RNA, 2575 nt
Filed under: Amphibalanus amphitrite
Lineage: Eukaryota; Metazoa; Arthropoda; Thecostraca; Balanomorpha; Balanidae
Description: uncharacterized LOC122368887
Source: RNAcentral